AAUUGAAUAUCGGAUACAGGUCAUGGAAGUUGGGUGUGAAUCCCACGCAAGGCCGUUGCUGUAAUUCGCCAAUGCAUUUGGCAUAAGUCACUGGAAGAGAUUCCGGGAAGGCGCCAAGGGCUGCGUUUUUGAAGGGAACGCGGGCGAUAAGUCAGAAUACUUGCCUGUUUCCUACUGCGCUU
This 182-nucleotide non-coding RNA is filed under the name Syntrophobotulus glycolicus. The record is from RNAcentral. Lineage: Bacteria; Bacillati; Bacillota; Clostridia; Eubacteriales; Desulfitobacteriaceae. RNAcentral also lists the same sequence under 1 other name.